This 497-nucleotide ribosomal RNA is filed under the name uncultured bacterium. Its description in RNAcentral is "partial 16S ribosomal RNA". It matches the Rfam family "Bacterial small subunit ribosomal RNA", at positions 28 to 507 of the family's 1533-position model. The record is from RNAcentral.
GAUGAACGCUGGCGGCGUGCCUAAUACAUGCAAGUCGAGCGAACAGAUGAGGAGCUUGCUCCUCUGACGUUAGCGGCGGACGGGUGAGUAACACGUGGAUAACCUACCUAUAAGACUGGGAUAACUUCGGGAAACCGGAGCUAAUACCGGAUAAUAUAUUGAACCGCAUGGUUCAAUAGUGAAAGACGGUUUUGCUGUCACUUAUAGAUGGAUCCGCGCCGCAUUAGCUAGUUGGUAAGGUAACGGCUUACCAAGGCAACGAUGCGUAGCCGACCUGAGAGGGUGAUCAGCCACACUGGAACUGAGACACGGUCCAGACUCCUACGGGAGGCAGCAGUAGGGAAUAUUCCGCAAUGGGCGAAAGCCUGACGCAGCAACGCCGCGUGAGUGAUGAAGGUCUUCGGAUCGUAAAACUCUGUUAUUAGGGAAGAACAAAUGUAUAAGUAACUAUGCCCGUCUUGACGGUACCUAAUCAGAAAGCCACGGCUAACUACGUG